AAAUUUCAUUACCUACAUGUACUCGGAGACUUUUAAACAUACAAUCUAAAUGUCUACUAACACACGAUCCUAACAUACUCAUAAAAAAGGUGCCCGCUUGCAAGAGUCAAUUGUUCGAUCCUUUAAGUUAGAACAUUCUUUUCUAGUGUCAUUCAAAAUUAUCCAUUUACCUGCCCCAUUCCAUCGUAUUAUGUGAACUUUUUCUCGUCCUGAAUAUAGAUAAUUGUUGCUCACUAGACAUUAAAAAUAAUCAAUAAUUCAAUGCAAACAAACUCCCCUUUUCAAUAUAAAUUAUCAUGUUUUACGUUGUUUUUUAAUCAUCCGAGGAUGCAUGUAUGCCAAGAUCAUUUGUUCAAAAUUGUGUCCUCAAAUCACUUACGUACA
Molecule: long non-coding RNA, 384 nt
Filed under: Mytilus galloprovincialis (Mediterranean mussel)
Lineage: Eukaryota; Metazoa; Mollusca; Bivalvia; Mytilida; Mytilidae
Source: RNAcentral